CAGUCCAUCCUAAUCCCUGCUGGCCAGGCCGUGGCCCACAAGGGUUCGCUUGUGGACCACAUCACCCUAGGAAGCCUUGCCCAGCGAAUUGGUCAGACUAUUGUGGCCUCACUCCGUGGGCAUGCUCCCAGGACAGCA
Molecule: small nucleolar RNA, 138 nt
Filed under: Echinops telfairi (small Madagascar hedgehog)
Lineage: Eukaryota; Metazoa; Chordata; Mammalia; Afrosoricida; Tenrecidae
Source: RNAcentral